Molecule: long non-coding RNA, 263 nt
Organism: Ornithodoros turicata
Lineage: Eukaryota; Metazoa; Arthropoda; Arachnida; Ixodida; Argasidae
Exons: 4
Source: RefSeq, a predicted model, not a curated record
GGGCCACCCACCGCUGUACAGGCAUCACAAGUGACAAGAAGUCACGUCGAGCACGCUCUAAGUGAAGCUAGGCAGAGAGCCCGCAGCUGGAGAGAGCCCCCACGUAGCUACACUAAUACAGCCAUGCGGGGGGCAGGCGCCGCAUCUUGGGAUACCUUUCCUGUGUACAGUGAAGGGAACUUUGGCUACCCUCAGUCGCUGCAUCCUGAUUCUGAAAUAACACAGCCAACUUGCAGCACAGCAAGCUUCACUGGGAGAAUGCA